Molecule: transfer RNA, 59 nt
Filed under: Zancudomyces culisetae
Lineage: Eukaryota; Fungi; Kickxellomycota; Harpellomycetes; Harpellales; Legeriomycetaceae
Rfam family: tRNA
About the family: Transfer RNA (tRNA) molecules are approximately 80 nucleotides in length. Their secondary structure includes four short double-helical elements and three loops (D, anti-codon, and T loops).
Source: Rfam by way of RNAcentral
GGUCCUAUGGUCUAACGGUCAUGACAUUGGACUUUGAAUCCAGUAGCCCGAGUUCGACU